UGAACCCGCACUAAUUACCUGAUUUAGAUUGAGCUUUGUCGUUUAACUGGCACUUUUGGCUCUAAGCUAAUUCAAACACGUAGUUUGAGUUAGAGGUCUUUUGCGCAACAAGAUGGCUGAGGACUCUCUGUUUGCUAGUGAUUACGGCAGCCCGUGUCCUUUAUGUGAGGAGGAAUGUGAGAAACAUUGUCUGGCCCUCGGAGUCAAUGAACAACAAAGAAAUAUAGAUGAAGCAGAGCAAAAAAGAGACCAUAAAAUUGGUUCUAUAGAUGAAGAGAAAAAAGAAGAGGGAACCGAAAUGGCAGAAAGGGUGGCAAAAGUAUUUGUUGAUACGGAUGAUGAAUAUAAUCAUGAAGAAGGUGUGGAGUUUGAAAUGGGUGAAAGUAAAGUCGAAAUGACAGAGAAGAAUAAAAGCAAGUGUGACAAUGGAAAAGGGAAUGAUGUGAGUGGUGAUCUGGGCCCUCCACCACAGGAGCAGAAGAGUGUCCAACAGCUGGACACCAGUGACCCAGUAAAUCUGUUGAUGGUGUGUGAGGAGUCUGUUGAGAGCAGUGUGAACGAGGAGCUUCUGCUGUGUCCUGCCAAGUCUUUAUCCUUUUCACAGACCUCCUUGAUAUCUUCUCCUCCUCCUUCCCAGAAUCCUCUACCUCUCACACUCCCAUCUAGCAAUCACUCUGUGUUUCAGCUACAAACGCAGCCAGUGGUUCAGACCCAGAGCUCAGUGCCCAUGCCAAUGCCCCAGGUUUCCUGUUUGACCAAGCGUGCAUAUGAGAGCAGCCCCUCUGUGGAGCCCAAAACACUCACCCAUUCUGGGCAGCUGGAGGUGACGCUGCAGCAGGUGUACACCACACGCCGGUACACCCGCUUCACCAGCAGGUCUGCAUCAUUAAACUCAAUACAUCCAGAGACCAGCGCCCAGCCCUUACCGUGUGUCAGCAACACAUCUCUACUGGUACCAGCCCCCAAAAAGAAAACGCGAACCUCCUACAGCACUGAUCAGUUGGAGGAGCUAGAGAGGAUGUUUCAAGAUGAUCAUUAUCCGGAUGCAGACAAGCGGAAAGAGAUUGCAACAUCAGUUGGUGUCACACCCCAGAGAGUCAUGGUAUGGUUUCAGAAUCGUCGUGCCAAAUGGCGUAAAACCUCUAAAAUGACAACAAGAAAGCCUCCAGUGACCCGGACCCAGGCACCUGCCCAAGUCCCAGUCCACAGGCCUCCUAUUUUCACAGGUUCUGCAAUUGCAUCCCAACCCCCCCAAACUGGAAACACACUCCCUCCUUACAGUACACUGCUCCCCAGCUGCUCAAGCCCACCAGGCUUUGUGGAUAUGGCAGCUACUGUGUCUCAGGGGUGUGCAGGGGACUAUAAGCAUCCCCUCAUGCAGAGUCCCCCACCUCUGCGCCGUGCCUCACUACCCUUCUUUGCUGCAUUCAACCCCCCUACACACACGCUGUCUAUACUGCUGGACACACCAGAGCACUGUGAGCCUCAGUCCUUCAGCAUGCCGACUGAAAGUGGGUUUAACUAUGAUUCUGUGGACUCUUCAACUAAAUAUGAGUCUGUUGCUGGAAACACUCAGUCAUACCAGCUCAUGACAUACCCCCAACAGUCCAGCACAUUAUUGCCUCAACAACCUGACACUCUCCUUCCCCAACAAAAUAAUAACGUACAUCCACAGCAGCCGAACGCACUAUUGCCACAAUACUCACGAAUAUCAUACCUCACCCCAUCUCCGUAUCUGACCCCUAACUCAAGUGAAGGCACUGCCACUUCCUGUAUGCCCCUGAACCCAGGAACCAGUAGCAGCCUGCUACCCUGCACCAAUGGAGGACAUGCCUAUUUCCACUGCCAAAACGGUAGCCAGGUUCUACUUCAGCCUGGGCUACAGGCACUGCAGACAUACCCAUGGACUGGUGACAUGUACGGUCAUUCAGUUCAGGUUCCUCACGCAGUCCUAAAGCCCCAGUUCUCAUCCCAUGGUCGUGAGAGCCACUAUUCAUCUCUGCUCCAGCCCCAGUCUUACAUCACACCUCAGGGGGCAUCAUGCCCUAGCCUGGCUAAACCUGCCACCCCUGACCCCUUGCUCGCCAGUGUCAAAACAGAGCUGGAGGAAACCGGACACAGUCAGCCAGUCAGAGUUAGCGAGGCAGAGACCAUUUUCCAUUGUGACUUCUCACCCAUUCACUUUUGACAGUAACCAUUUUGUACUGGUCAUCGUUGCAGUGGAUUCCUGGGAACACUGCGUGUGAGGGCCAGCAGCACUAACAGGAAAUUGAGAGUCUGCAGUCUGUUUGUUUCUGUACUUUUUGUGUUUUGUUGUUGUUGUUGUUGUUGUUAACUGCAGACUUUAAUAAAGUGCCCUACGUCUCUUAUUA
Molecule: RNA transcript, 2372 nt
Organism: Ictalurus punctatus (channel catfish)
Lineage: Eukaryota; Metazoa; Chordata; Actinopteri; Siluriformes; Ictaluridae
Exons: 10
Source: RefSeq, a predicted model, not a curated record